AUAUUCAGUGAUAUAACAUAUCCACCACCAGUGUCGUCGGCCAUGACGAAGCCGAGGCGUCCAUUCGGUAUUCUGUCGUCUUCACAACAAAAGCUGCCACCGAUAUCGCCGCUGCCGCCCAUCUCGAAGCAAGCAACAUUGAUGGAACGUCUGGCAUCACGUUCACUGACUCCAUCACCGGUGGCAAUGAAAAAGAAAGUUUGGUUUUGUGACAGUGAACGACUAUAUUUCCCCAAGAGUUUUCCUAGCAAACCGAUAUUUUAAGCAAAUUCGUUUUUUUUUUGUUUCUUAUCAAUUUUUGUUAUUGAUUUAAUCGCAUUUUGUUGUUACGGUAGGGUGUUGGUUGGUCUUUGGGAGUGGGUUGAGCGUCAUUGCAAUCUCGCAACACCCAACGUCCCAUGAUAAUAGAGGGAUGAUCAAUCAGCCCACCGUCAAAUAUAAGCACACAACAUUUUCAUAUUCACACAUACACACACCCAAACGCUAAAAUACGCAUGCCAAAAAGACCCGAUGGCGCGGGUGGCUUUCAUCUUCUUUCUCUAUUCUGAGACAUUUAGAAAGAGCGAUAGAAUGACGACGUAUCCUGAUUUUCUUAUCAGUUGUCGUUUUAUUUGUGUCUUUAUUUUUGGUUUUUUUUUUAUGACACGAUAACACCUCAACGUUUUUUUGUUAUUCCUAUCACUUUGUUUUUUUUUACAAAUACGAGUAGAAUUUUUCGAAAAUUGUUUUCCAUCAUUUAUUCACAUGUUCGUUGCUAAUAUUGAUCAUAAACUAAUAGAGAUGUAACAAUUUAAUACUUGCAAUCUUAUACGAAGGGUUUUUAAAGGUUGACGAACCUGACUCUACCAUCCACCCUGGCACGAUUUGAGCAAGGAAUAGUUUAGAAACAUUUUCUAAUAUGCUUUGAUCACUUUGAUUAUGUACAGUGACUCCCAGUAAAAAUGGCCCGCCUUGCUUAACUUUCUUUUUUUUCACAAAUUGGAUCGAUUUUAGCAUUGCAUUUAGAAUGCGGUACCCUUAAUUUUUAUUUGAAAAUCUAGGCUUUCUUGUUUUGUGUUGUUUUAAAUUUGGAUAUUGUGAAUGCGUUUUAAUGCCACUGGGCAAUUAUAUAUCGAACGCCAUGCGUUUCGAGUCAUUAUCUUGGUAGAAGUGAAAAUAGUGCUCCUUCUCUCAGCAUUUGGCAUAAAAAAUGUUUAAAAACAAAUGUUAACAUUUCUUUCGAUUAUAUGGCGUUAGCGAAUAAAGUUUGACGUAAGAGUUUGGGUCUAGUUCAAACAUUCGCUCUACUAUCUGAAUCGAACUUAUUGAUCUUAUUCUCCCCAUUAUAAAACGUGAUUUUGAAUUAUACGCCUUUGAUUAUUAUGAUUUCGAAUUAUACGAUUUGAACCCAGUCAUUCAGCAUUAUAGGCGGACAUGCUAACCUCUGCGCUUCAGUGGCCUUCAACCACAAACAAACAAAAUGUUUGUUUUCGCAAAACUAAUCGAACUGUACAAUUACAGAACAGAUUGUUCACAUUUUCUAACCUCAUUACUUAUUUCUUUCUCGGUGAUGCAUACAUAUAUAUUUUUAUGAUAUUUUUCUGUUUCUUUUCGAGAAAGUACUAAUAGGCAUUUGCGUCAAAAACCGUAUUUACAAUAGCCUAUUAAGGGUUUAAAAAGGCUUUGUUCAGAGCAAAUGUUAUUGUAGCCUCUGGCCUUCUUUAACCUAAUAAUAGACUCUUUUAUUGUAAUUUCUACAUACACUCGCAAAAUAAUAAUACUAUCUUAGAAUAUAUUUCGGUUGAAAAAACAAAGAGAUUUUUUACGAAACUUUGGAAAGUGAUCUCUUAACGAUAUGCAGAUAAAAAUAUUUUAUACUAUUGUACUUUCCCAGCAAAAACUCUCAUUACCAAAUAACCAGAGAAGCAAACGCAUUCAAAAACUAAUAACUACAUAUUUUUAGGCAUUUCUUCUGAGCAUACCUUUAGUUCAAAAAUAAGUACUUAUGGCUAAGCAUACAAGUUGUCAAAAAAUAAUGACAUAUUAACUUAGUUGAACGUUGCUAAAAAAUAACUACUAAAGGCGCUAUUACACUGCAUGUAGAAGUCUUAUGAUAUGUCACGUUUUGUAUUCACAUAUACUUGAAAAUGUUUGUCAAUAUUAAUUUUUACUAUCACACAACUGCAUGUUAUAUUCUGAUUUUUUUAACGUAAUAAUUGUUAAAGUUGGGAGAAAGCUGGUUAAAUCAUAAGUUUCUGAAAAUAAUUUAAUUUGGAUUGCUUUAAUUCGACUGACAACAAGAACAGCUGAUUUCUUUAUGUUUUUUGUCAGAAAGAAUUGAGCACGCUCUAUCGAAAAAAAAAUUAAAUGUGUGUGAAACUAACAUAUGAAAAGUGAUUUUCAUAUGUUAGUUCCAUUUGUACACAACAUGUACAACUCUACAUGUGCUAAAUUUGACAUGUCAUAAGACGUCUACAUGCCGUGUAAUAAAGCCUUCAAACUCAAACAUGUUCGCCACCACCACGUUCUUAAUGCUCAGUUUCUUUGAAGAAGACAAAUUUUAUAUGAAUAAUUCAAAUUACGCAAUCUGUGCAUUCAUCCACAUUACUAUUGUGUGAAUAAGACACUACUUUCUCCUUUCAAUACUAGCUGAAACUUUAAUUCUAUUUCAUCAAAGAUGGUCAUGCUUUUGUGUUUAUGUUUGACAUAUUCUAUUCAAAGACACAAUAUUCGAAUACAUUGUAGUGAUUUUAGUAGUUUUGCGUCAAAGAGCGUACAUCAGAAGAUUUACAAUACAAAGGUCCCGAGUUCGAAUCUCGGACCAGUAAAAUGAUUUUUAAUUUUUUUAUUCUUUUCAAAUUAAGCCCACAGCAUGCGGAACAGAUCAACGGAUUUGUGGGGAGAUAAUCGACAGAAUUUGGAGCGGACGCGUAUGCUUAUUUUGAAACAUGGCCAUGAAAGUCCCAAAUAGUUUUCUCUCAUUUUCUUUUGUACGGUGUGAAUAAUUUGAUAACAAAUCUAGUGGAAUAAAUUGAAUUGAAUUCAAUGAAAAAAUUAAUUUAAUAAGUUAAAGGAGUUAUAUAAGCCAGUAAAAGCUGUUCUAAAGUAACGCUGGUUAUAAUUUAUAAUCUAUUUGUGCAAAUUUUUUGAUGUAAACUAAAUAAAACAAACCCAACUUCCGACCUUGGACCGGUUUAUUAAAAUAAAGAAUAUUUUUAUGUUAAAUAUUGCAUAGGUGUUAUAUACCAGCUACCUGUGACAAGAGAUAAUGCAUUGCAGCUUUUUUUUAAUAAUAACUACACAAAUAAGUUUGAUAAUACCUGGAAACGAUUGUGAAAAACCCGACUCAAUAACUAUAUUUUUCGGCACUAGCACUAAAACGGCAUAGGGUUACCAAGGAAAAAAAAAAGAAUCGCUCUUUAGUUAUUCAGCUGCUACUGUAGUUUUUUGAAUACGAAAUACUUUAAUGAGUUUAUUGUACAAUAAUCGUUUAAUAACUAUUGUGCUCGUUAAUGAUUCAGUAGUAAAUUUUUGGGAAUACGGGUGUUAAUAUUUAUCUUUGACUCUGAGUAUGACGUCCUAUCUUUCCAAACGUAAUUGUCCAGUUUGCGUAUUUUACAAACUCAGUACGAAUAACCAAAACCAAACUUUUUUCAUCGGUCUGCUUUACAAAGUUCAAGGCACAAGGUUGUUUAAUGGGUCAUUUUCAAUACAAUUUCUAGAAUCUUACGCAUAUUAUUCAAAAAACGUAUCUUGUUUGGGGAACUAAGCCGCUACUAUUUUAUGUUAAGCAAAAUAAAAAAGUGGGCCAUUUUCACGGGGAGUCAAACUUCAUUACUAUCAAUUCAAAUGAUUGUCUAACUUGAGUUUGUUACACUUGAAAGCAUAUGUCAAAUACUAAUAUGCUAUAAAUUUGCAUAUAUGUUCUUUUUCUUUUUGAUUACAUAUUUCUGUUAAAAAAAACUACAUUAAUUAUUUAUUUGCUAUGGGUGGAUGGGUUCCUGUUCUACAUGUUACCUGUACACGAUUUUUCAUUGAAUAAUUACCGAUUUAUUUAUUAACUAAUUCUUUUAAGAGUACAAUGCUAACCCACAUCGAUUGCACAAUAUGUUUGUUCUUACAACCAUAAAAAAUUUAAACUCAAUUCUUAUAAUUCAUUCUUUCUAUUCUAUUGUAUUCUUUUCGGCUAUAUAAUUAUGCUGUUGUAAGUGUACUCAACUUUAACGAUGAAAUUAUGCUCGGUAUGUCUAAGACAGCUUUUAGUGUCAAACGUCGAUCGUAUACUGAUGUCUUUCGGUAAGAUGAAUCCAACUGAAAUAAACACAUAUGUACUUCCUAAUCAGUAUUACGACUCAAGGAAAUGAUUUCCUACCAAAAUUUAAGAACCUAGACCGUCUGUCUCGUCUGUCCCUCCGUCUGUCUGUUGAAAUCACUCUACAGCCUAUUAAAAUAUCGGCCAUAGUUAAAGAUGGAGAUGGAAAGGCGGUGGCCACCGUAGCGCAGAGUUUAGCAUGUCCGCCUAUGAUGCUGAACGCACGAGUUCGAAUCCUGACGAGAACAUUGAAAAAGUUUUUCUAAUGCUGGCGACAUAUGUGCGAUACUGUACCAUAUUGUAUGGCAGCCGUGUCAAAACUUCUCCGCAAAGAGGUUUCACAUUCACAUUCGUUCGGACUCUGUAACAAGGAGGCCCUUUAUCAUUGAGCUUAAUCUUGAUUAUGAGACGUUUGGCCUUGUUCCUUAAUGGAAUGUUCAUGAGCAAAUUUGCAUAGUUAUAGAUGACCUAUAUAUGGAUAUAGCACCCAAUAUACCGAUUCCCCGAUGAGAAUACUUGAAAUUAUAAAAAUUUUAUUUCGCCCGAUAUCCAUGAACAACAAUGUCGGAAAAAGCUGUCUCCAGAUUUACUACCCGUUUCCGCCGAUACAGUGAGCUGCAUUGUACCCCUCAGCAUCCGAGUAUGGGCCAAUGGUAUGUAGCUGCCAUAUGGCCUGAUCUUCCAGUUGAAGGCAAUCGAACGAAAGCCGAAUUUUUAUCCUGGAUUUACGAAAUUUGGUUCAGAUCCCUUGACUCUUGCACCAGUUGUAGUCAAUAUCAGAACUUAUUCAAUUUUUUUUUUCUGAAAUUUAAAACAGUGAGACCCCUUUAACAGUAUUAAAACCCCCGACGUCCAAGCCGAGUACGUGAGAAAUAUAGUCUAGAUGAGGUUAUUAAAGGCUUAUAAUAAUUAUAUCAGAUGAUUUUGUUUGAAACUUCAAGCUCGUGGUCAAAGUAGUACUGAUUAAAAAAAAAUGGUUUCAUUCAGCAUACACUGAGCGAAAGAAAGUGACACAAUUUUGAAUUAUCCCCGGGGAUGUUUUCAAUAAUUUGCUUGGUAUUAAUAAGUGAGAAAACCUUACCAGAAUUUGAGGUCAGCCUAUCAAAAUUUGAGGUCAGCCUACCAAUUUUGUUAGGAACCUACCAAAAACGGCAACACUUAUCCUAAUAUACAAAUCUAUUAGAAGGAAAUGUCCCUAACAUGUUCGCUCCAGCUUUUUUAGUUCAACGAGAUGAAAAAGGCGGAUGAAUACAAAGAUACAAUGCAAAAAGUUGUAGAGUUGUUCAAUAAUAUCGCAUCUGCAGUCAAACUUAUUGUUGUAUAUUUGAUAUUCAACAUAGUUUGUUAUACAAAUCGCUCAGUUAUAUUCAACGUUGGCAUGAAUAGACUAUUGAUGCUUUUCUUCCAUAAGUUUCCUUUGUUAAUAUAACUACUGCAUGCGCAAGAUUUAAACUCGAUCAAACACUUCGAUACAAUGCAUUUGCAUCUUUCCCCUCAAAUCUUCAAUUCCAAAUAACAUAUUUAAUUAAAUUCUGACAUAUGUAGCUUCCUUCUAUGUUGUAAUACAAAGUCAGAUGACUUUUGUUUUUUAAUUUCGCUUAGUCGCACAAUCGAACAUAGAGAUUCGUUCACCAAGUGUGUAUCACAGUCUGACAGUUCUAACGAGAGCUUGCGUUUGCUUGGCAUGCCAAAGUUUGCAAAUAUUUUAAAUAUAAAACAGGGAUUAUGUAUUAAUGGAACAAAUGUUAAUCCUUUUUUUUGGAUCAUUGUCCCAUACUUUAGUACAAUUAGGUCGGUAAAAGCCAUGCUGUUUUUUCCAAAUUGCAAAUUUUGCCCAUGAACAUUCCACUAAGGAACAGGGGCGAACUUCUCACAUAUCAAUGAGUGCAGUCCGAUUAAAGAUUUUAAGCUCAAUGAUAAGGGGCCUUCUUUUUAUAGCCGAAUCCGAACGGCGUGCCGUAGUGCAACACUUCUUUGAAGAGAAGUUUUACAUGGCAAAGUACCUCAGAAAUGUUGCCAGCAUUACGCUGAACAUUUUUUCUGUUGGUCUCGCCAGGAUUCGAACCCAGACGUUCAGCGUCAUAGGCGGACAUACUAACCUCUGCGGUACGGUGGCCUGUUAUGCUGUUAUUUAAUUCAGUUAUUUAAUAGAGUUUUGAAGCAAAAAAAAAACAUGUCGAAAAUCUAAUUGGCUGGGUUUGAUAGUUGCAACAGUCUGUAAUCAGACUUACAUAGGCAGUUUUACUGCAUUCUGAUGGCACAAUUGUAUUUUCUUUGGAGCCUCUAACGGCAAUAGAAGCCAACUCCACCGAAAUAUUGAGCCAGUCUCUUUGUAACAAAAUUAAAAAAAAUGUUUUCCUAACGAAAUGCGAAAUGUACGAGUUUAAAGCGUAAACUCAUGACGUAUGUUUGUACAUGCUCCGCAUUCAGAAGUAAUACGUGGUCAAAUUUAUUUAUUUGAUUAAAGUAUAUACACUUGCUAUUUUCUAUGGUGUGGACUUAAUCACUCAUUAGCGAUUGAAAAUAACAUAAUCUUGUAGUUUAACUAUUGUCUAUACGUCAAUAUAACAAAUUGUGCGCAUAUCUUCCCAUUCACAAAAACACAUGUCGGCUACCAAUUAUCCAAUGUCAUCCAAAACAAAAACAAAAAAAAAACAAAAA
Molecule: long non-coding RNA, 6952 nt
Organism: Stomoxys calcitrans (stable fly)
Lineage: Eukaryota; Metazoa; Arthropoda; Insecta; Diptera; Muscidae
Exons: 2
Source: RefSeq, a predicted model, not a curated record